GAAGGCCUUCGGGUUGUAAAGCUCUUUCGGCCGGGACGAAAUACGCACGGGCUAAUAUCCUGUGUGGAUGACGGUACCGGAAUAAGAAGCACCGGCUAACUACGUGCCAGCAGCCGCGGUAAUACGUAGGGUGCGAGCGUUAAUCGGAAUUACUGGGCGUAAAGCGUGCGCAGGCGGUUUGAUAAGACAGGCGUGAAAUCCCCGGGCUUAACCUGGGAACUGCGCUUGUGACUGUCUCACUAGAGUACGGCAGAGGGGGGUGGAAUUCCACGUGUAGCAGUGAAAUGCGUAGAGAUGUGGAGGAACACCGAUGGCGAAGGCAGUCCCCUGGGGAUAAGACUGACGCUCAUGCACGAAAGCGUGGGGAGCAAACAGGAUUAGAUACCCUGGUAGUCCACGCCUAAACGAUGUCUACUAGUUGUUGGGGUAG
Molecule: ribosomal RNA, 430 nt
Filed under: uncultured bacterium
Lineage: Bacteria
Description: bacterial SSU rRNA
Rfam family: Bacterial small subunit ribosomal RNA
Source: RNAcentral